UCACAAAUAACUUAUCUUCAAAAUGGCUGACAUCAAAAUCAUUUCAUGGAAUGUCAGAGGCCUCAAUGAUAAAAUAAAACGAGUCUUAGUCUUUAAUUACCUGAAAACCUACAAUCCUCAUAUCUUAUUACUACAAGAGACACAUUUGGUGGAGCAAAAAGUUCUUGCCCUUAAAAAACCGUGGGUCGCGCACGCAUACCAUUCUACCUACUCCACCUACAGCAGAGGUACCUCGAUUCUUAUCAGAAGAGGUCUUUCCUUUCGGUUCGAGGGGCUGCGCACUGACAGAUUUGGCAGAUUUCAAAUACUUCAUGGCUUGAUAUCGGGUUUUCCCAUCACAAUAGUCAAUUUAUAUAUUCCACCACCAUUUUCAGACGCCAUUUUGCAUGACGUUUCUUCAGCUCUUGCACAGUUGCCCCCAUCCCCCAUAUGCAUAGCGGGUGACUUUAACACAUACCUAGACCCUUCUAUGGAUAAGCUUAACCCCUUGCACGCCUCACCCUCGAAACUGUUGGAUUGGCUUCAGGCCUUUAACCUAACGGAUGUCUGGCGUUGGAAGCAUACAAAUGAUAGGGAAUUCAGUUGUUACUCAGCCACUCACCGCACACUAUCCCGCAUAGAUUUAAUUCUAACCUCGGCUGAUCUUCUUACAAAAGUAAGAGAAGUCAAAUUCCUCCCUCGCGCAAUUUCAGACCACGCCCCUGUUUUUUUAUCAAUACAAUUACACCCACCAACCCAGUGCAAACAAUGGAGACUUUCUCCACUAUGGCUUAAAAACUACACAAUUAUUGAAGAUUCUACUAUGGCUCUUCAGAAUUACUGGGAAAUUAAUUCAGGAUCUGCAAACCCAAGCACAACUUGGGAGGCUAGCAAAGCAGUAUUGCGGGGGGCUUUAAUAACAACAAUUAAUAAAGCACGAAAUAUUACCAAAGAUCAAUUAAAUACUCUGGAACUCAGUUUGGCACAAGCCGAGCGAGACUUCACUGAUGACCCAUCCCCCGAAAACCACGCUAACUUUACCAUGGCCCUUAGACAAGUCGAACUGUACAGGUUGAACCUCACUAAAAAACAGCUUUUAUACUCAACUAGUAGAGCAUUUGCCCUAGGAGAUAAAAAUGGAAAACCUCUAGCUUUUUUAGCCAAAACAUUGGACCAAUCUACGGCCAUUCCCAAAAUUAUUAAUGCUCAAGGUCAGGCCAUUUUGGCUCCCUCCAGAAUUGCUGAGGAAUUUAAAUCAUACUAUGCAGACUUAUACACAUCCAAAGCACGAUACACCAAUGAGGAACUGCACACCUAUCUAAACAAGAUCUCCCUUCCUCACUUAUCUCAACACCAAACUAAAUAUCUAGACAAUCCAAUUUCGCAAUUAGAGAUAGCCGAGGCGAUAAUGGCUAUGUCUACAGGGAAGUCCCCGGGUCCAGAUGGAUACGGAAUUGAAUGGUAUAGACUACACAUAAAGCAAUUGGUCCCCAAACUCCUGGAUACAUACAUGCACGCAUAUGAAAAUUUCACACUACCUCCCUCAUUCUCAGAAGCAACCAUUAUAGUUUUACCCAAACCAGGUAAAGAUAGUACUAGUUGCGCAUCAUAUAGACCGAUAUCACUUCUAAAUUGUGAAGUUAAAAUAUUAGCAAAAAUCCUAGCAAGGCGACUGAUUAAAAUUAUAACAUCCCUGGUACAUGAAGACCAAUCUGGUUUCAUUCCUUCCAAGUCAACCGCAAUUAACAUACGCAGACUACAUUUUAAUCUACAAGCAUCACAUGAAAAUGGAGAAACAGGUGUAGUAGUAUCUCUAGAUACAGCCAAAGCAUUUGAUUCUAUUGAAUGGCCAUAUCUCUGGGAGGUCUUGACAAGACUAGGAAUUGGCCCAAGCUUUAUUAAAUGGGUUCGCUUAAUGUACAGUAAACCUACGGCCAGACUUAAAGUGAAUGAUGUGCUAUCCGCUCCUUUUACUCUAUCUAGAGGAACCAGACAGGGAUGCCCUCUUUCCCCCUUACUAUUUGCUUUGGCGAUAGAACCUAUGGCCAUUGUUAUUCGACAACAUCCCCAGAUUCAAGGCCUAGUGUAUAAAGGUUUAUAGGAAAAAAUCUCUCUUUAUGCAGAUGACACCCUUUUAUACUUAGCCAACCCAGCGGACUCAUUGGGAAUCACCUUAGAAACAAUCUCUACUUUUGGGAAUUUUUCUGGCCUACAAAUCAACUGGGAUAAAUCUCAAUUAUUUCCACUUUCCACUCGUGCGCUACAGUCAAUAAACCCUACAAGUAACCUCAAAAUAGUGGAUACUUUUAAGUACUUAGGAAUUUUAAUUCAUAAGGAUCCAACCACAUUUAUUUCCCUUAAUUUACAACCUCUUAUACAACUUAUGAAAAGUACACUUGCAAAAUGGUCUACCUUACCGCUAACCCAAAUUGGCAGGAUUAAUAUAUGCAAGAUGGUAUUUCUUCCCAAAUUUUUAUAUCUCUUCACUAACUCACCCUGCUAUAUACCCAAAUCAAUUCUGAAAACAAUAGACCGCACACAAGCUGACUUUGUGUGGGCCCAAAAAUCUCCCACAGUAGCUAGAACAACACUUCAUGCCCCCGCAAGUCACCUAGGCUUAGGGAUGCCUAACUAUGAAUCCUACUACCUAGCGACACAAGCAAUACAUGCCUCCAAUUGGAAAACAUUUGAUACGGAAAACCCAGCUUCUCUGCUGGAAGCGUUGUACUUCGGUUCCAUUGAAUCAUUACACCAUGCUCUUUACAGGCCAAAAAAAUCCUUACCAAUUUUAAUUCCAUUGUUGGAUGCCACUAAGAAAUCGUGGGACACGUUGUACAAAUCAACCAAUAAGGACAAUUCUUUUUCACCAGACAUGCCCCUGUGGCAUAAUGCCUCACUAAGCAACUUUGACAAAUUUACUGGAGGGGGCUUCUGGGCAAGAGCUGGAAUCAGGCAACUGCAACAUAUAACACAAGUGGGCAAUUUUAAAACUCUAGAGCAGUUCCAACAAACUCCGGAAUUGUCAGAUCUGUCGGUGUAUAGAUACCUGCAACUGCAACAUUUAUACCACACACAAUUUCACAUCAACCCACCCAAAAUUCAACAAAUAACUGUAGAAACUAUAAUAAGCCCACCAGAGAAACAGAAACUGGUAUCCAAAACAUACACGCACAUUGCUUCUCUCAAAUAUGACCACAGACCCAGGGUCAAACUUAAGUGGGAAAGUAGUGGUGUUCACUUAGAUUCUGAUGAUUGGGAAGAAUUAGAAGAAAGCCUCUAUCUUCCUCUUAUCAGUACAAGAGACAGGCUCAUUCAAUUUAAAAUUAUACAUCAAACAUACUUGACACCAAAAAAACUACAACUUAUGGGCCGCUUGGAGCAUUCCAGAUGCCCCCGCUGCAACUCCCCGGAUGCUGAUUUCAUACACCUUAUAUGGUAUUGUCCAGUGUUACAGCAAUUUUGGAAAAAGAUAAUGCAGUUUUUAGCCGAAGAAUUUACUCUACCACAAGUUCUAAACCCAGCUACCUGCCUACUCGGCAUAACGGAUGCUCUGGUUCCCAGAAUCCACUCAAGAUUAUUGAUGAGAGCGCUUUUGUUCUUUGCCAGGAAAACGGUAGCCCUACACUGGAUGGGACCAACUCCUCCUACGAUUAAACAAUGGAUUAAUCUUAUUAAUUCCCAGCUGGAACUUUAUAAGUUAACAUAUAUUGCCAGGGGUUGUCCACAGAAAUUCGAUAAAAUAUGGUCUCCUUGGUUGGAUUCUCCUGCAACAAUGACUAAAUAAGUCUAUUGCGAAUUGUCUUUGUAUCCUAUCAUGUCUACCUUCUUCUUCCUUCCUUCUUUACUUCCUUCCUUCUUGUUGUUAUUGAAAACUCAAUAAAAAGUUACUAUUAAAAAAAAAAGUUCAUCCAAAGGUGAACAACCCCUUUGAUUUAUUUUUUUAAUAAGGUUUACUUCUUUGGAUUUGGAGCUUUUGAGUUUGGAAUGUAAACAGCUCUCUUUGGUGCAAGGAUCUUUCAUUUUGCAAUAAGACAUUUGCAAGCAAUUUAAACCUAACCUAACAAGCAAGGAUGUAUUUAUCAUAUAGAUACCCGAGGGCCAAUGCGUGGGGCAGCAGAUAUAGGGUGGUAGACCAUGGGUGCCUAUAUGGUAAAAGAAAAAGAAACAAAACACAUCCUCCCAGCAUGCCAUCUGAUUCUUGUGGCUAAAUCUGUUGCCGGAAUUUUGGGAGAAAAGGAUACAUCUUGCUCUUCAGCAGUUGGCACAUCAGUUGGCUGUGCAUGGCAAACAAAAGCUCUUUUUGCCCUGAGCCUAAAAAAAAUGAAAACAAACUUGCUGACUAGAUAAAUUAUGCUGAAGUUAAGUUUAUUUAUAGCUAACACUAGAAAAAAUAUUUCCCUUUACAUAGAUGAUGAAAUCAUUAAUAUGCCACUUCUCCUUUUCUGUUUAUUCAGUGGAAAAUGCAGAAAGCUCACUUUUAAGCCAAAUUAGCAAUUUAGCCUAUCUGGGGAUUCCAUUACAUUUAGCAUGUAUGUCUUUGUAUUCAUAUCUUUGUUAAAGUUGUCUAUAAAUUCUGGAAUUGGUGAAGACCAUGUUUUCCACCACAAAAGGAUCAGUAUGCAUAAAAACAAAUGUGGUUCUUGGGUAUGCAGGAAGGCAGCAUUUAAAGAUGGGCAACGUGAAGUUAGUUGCUUCAGUUUCUGCUGGCCUACACAGUAAGGAGACUGGAACUACAGCUAAUACUGUCAAGGCAGAAGCCACCAUGAAAUGAGAACAGGAGGUGCCUGGGAUGAAUAAAGUAUAACAGACAAAGUAUUGUCCAAAUAGAUCCAAGAAAGACGUUAACCUUGAAGAUGGCCAUUAAGGCUGUAGUGUAGAGACAGCUGUAGUGUAGAGACAGCUCCCCAAUUCUAUACGUAAUAUAAAUAGUAGUUGCUAAAUCCAUGGAGUAGGUGUAACAAUCAUACUUUCUACACCAAAACAAAGCCCAACUUUGCUUGCUGAUUGUGGGAAUAUCAACUCUCUUAGCAAAUAUAUCACAGCAGGUUGCCAACAUGAAGAAAGAUGAAAGCGUAAAUUUAAAUAGUGUUCCCUGAACUUUGGUACUGGACCAAGAGCCAGGGAAUAUAUAUUAAUUGCAAUGGGUACAUAGAAAUUUAAACAGAAACAAAGCAGUAGGUCAUAAUCUAAAGGAGAAAAACGCUUUCACGAUAUACAGACCAUUAUCAAUGUCUCCUUGCCCGCAACACAAUACAGUGCAAAGCAACUGUCAAAAAAUGAGCAGAAGAUGAGUAAUAGAGAAGAAAUAUUAUAGGAGUACGAAACAUGGUGUUCAUACAAGGAGGCAUAACACUGCCAGGAAAAGUGUGUAGGUCUCUAGUAUGAAGGUUACAGGAACAACGUAGAUAUUUCAAUUAAUCUGAUAACGAUAAUGUCAAAGGAGCUCCCACAGGAACACUGUUCAUGCACAAAACCUAUGAAGCAUACCAUAGAGAGAGCAUUGUUCUCAGUGAUUUUGCUACACAUAUGAGUCAAUAAUACAGAAUGGCUGCACAAUAGUUUACUGCUUGUCACUUUGGAAUCUGGGCACUGAAGGUUCUUGUAUUUUUCAAGGGAAGAGUUACAUCUCCUGCAAUGGAGACUCCUGCUGAAAGAAAGAUCAAGGCCAGUCAACGGUUCAUAUAGUCAAGAAAAAAAGAGAGAGCCCUUAACAUCAAGAAAUAGAAAACUAUUACACAGUUGAUCAAGAGAGACUUUUUUUGAAAAGUUCUAUAGCAAUAACAAAUGUUAUUUUCAGCUCAUUUGUUUCAUCUGUGUCAUACAGUUGUGGAUAACGGUGAAGCCCAACAAGAAGACACCUGGAAGUAGUCAACGCUUUCUAUACUCUUUAAAAACUUUACAAUGGCAUUGGUUUGAAUUGAAUUCUGGAUUCAUGAUGGAAGCAGAAAUACAAUACAGAAAGGAAGACGGUUAAUUGUUGUGUUUAUGUUAUGCUCUUUUACAGGGGCCCAAGUUACACCCACAAAUACAUGUAUCUCAUGGAAACCCUACUUGCUUGGAAAGGGGAAUCCAGGUAAAAUGUCCAUAAAGGGGUACUGUCAGCAAGAAGCUCCCCUUUAUCUUUCCAAGCUAUAGGCACUCUUCAAUUUUAAUAUGCUAAUGCCUUUCCCUUCAGCAGUGCUAAAUGUUGUCACUGAAUUAUCUGAGCCUUUCAGAUAAUGGCUUAUUACAUCUUGUCUUGAAUCUUCUGAAUUGAUAGCUAAAGUCCAGGCCUAUCCAAGGCCUCCUAAAAAAGUCUAGGAGGAAACUGGCAUUAAUGAAACAUAAUGGACUUCUAGGAUCCAAAUCAUACUUCAGUAGUGGGUCAAAAUGGUACUUGGGCUAGGGUAGCCUUUUACACUGUACAAGAGAGUCUACUGGAGCAGUAUUGCCAAACUUCCUGUUUCAAACAAAUACCAUGCCACCCCUGUAGCACAAGGUGAGACAACUUCACUCACAGCAGUGUGGUAAUGGUAAUGAAAAUACUUAUGGACUUAAGUUGCCCUUAACCCUAAAUAAAUAUACAGUGAAACGAACUUGUAUCAUAGACAAACUUAAAUACUGAAGGACACUUCUGUCCUUCUUGCCACCUAAGGUGGUAGACUCAACACCUAGCCACCCUGCACCCUCUGAGCAUUUACUGGCCCUGCAUUCAAUUGAGCAAAGUGGACAAGAUUGCUUAUACAUAGGUUAUAAUUGCACUUUUUACACUAAAAGAUGCAAUUGCUUCAUUGUUUGCCUACUGCUGCUUGUGCUUGCCAUGCAUUGCAUAGCGAUUUUGGGAGUUCUUGGUGAGAACAGCAAUGGUGAAUGUAGCCCAUGCAAGUUUUAAGGGAUGCUAUUGUGAUCGGUGGAUUCAUUUAGGUUUGUAUUGCAACAUUGUCUGUUUUUUUAUGUCACUUUUUUGUGGUAUGGAGAACUCAACUAUGUGGAGAAAAGACACAGGAAGACUGGAUAGACUCUACAACUAGGAUACCCAAUAUAAGUUUUGGACUGUGGAAGGAAACUUGUCAUAUCUGGAUGAAACUCAAGCAACAAACAAACCACUAAAAAGCGAUGUGGUCAGAAUUGAA
Xenopus laevis (African clawed frog) is the source of this 7091-nucleotide RNA transcript. It is a transcript of the gene named MGC80699 protein, with no coding region annotated. The record is from RefSeq and is marked predicted. The transcript has 2 exons. NCBI's taxonomy places the organism in Eukaryota, Metazoa, Chordata, Amphibia, Anura, Pipidae.